GCUGAACAAUAAGCCCAACCAAAAUACAAACAUAUUAUAUAAAUAAAACAAAACAUUUGACAAAAACAGUAGAAGAGAUCGAACAUUAAAUUAGCGCAUAACAUCAGUACCGCAAGGGAAAUAUUAAUUUAUAAAGCAAAAGACAGCAAAGAUAAAAUCUUGUACCUUUUGCAUCAUGGUUUAGCAAGAACCCCCGGGACAAGAAGAAUCAAAGCCCCCCUGACCCGAAACCAGACGAGCUACUGCAAAGCAGCCUACUAGGGCGCACCCACUUCUGUAGCAAAAGACGAGGGACGACUACGCAGUAGAGGUGAAAUGCCUACCGAGCCUGGAGAUAGCUGGUUACCCAAAAAAGAAUUAAAGUUCUACUUUAGACCAGUUCAACACCACUUAGUCAUCUAAAGACAUUCAAUAGGGGUACAGCUCUAUUGAAACAGGAUACAACCUGAAAUUGAGAGCAAUACAAAAUUAAAUCUACCAGUAGGCCUUAAAGCAGCCACCAAAAAAAAUAUCGUUCAAGAAUUAAAAUUAAAAAUACCAAACUCUUUACACUACUCCAAUACACACUUAGGGUAAGCCUAUAUAAAUAGACGAACCUAUGCUAAAACUAAUAAUAAGAAUAAUUCUCUAAGCACACUUGUCUGCAAAUUCGCAAUCAACAGACCAUAAAAGGAAGAAAUUAAUCAAUUCACACUAAUUAAUCACACUGUGACUCCAACCCAGGGGUGCUAAAAAGAAAGAUAAAACAUUACAAAAGGAACUCGGCAAACAAUGACUCCAACUGUUUACCAAAAACAUAACCUUUAGCCAAACAAAUAUUAAAGGCAAGGCCUGCCCAGUGAGAACCUUCUUCAACGGCCGCGGUACCCUAACCGUGCAAAGGUAGCGUAAUCAUUUGUCUAUUAAUUGUAGACCAGUAUGAAAGGCUACAUGAGAGUCAGACUGUCUCUUGUAAUGAAUCUAUUAAACUGAUCUUCUAGUUCAAAAGCUAGCAUAUUCAUAUAAGACCAGAAGACCCUGUGAAGCUUUAACUAACCCCCUAAAACAACUAGGAGGUACUUUCAGUUGGGGCGACUAUGGAACAAAAUUAAACUUCCAAUAACACGACACAUUCGCAAUAAGGCACACAUGCCACUAUACGACCCAGUCUUACUGACUAACGAAACAAGUUACUCCAGGGAUAACAGCGCUAUCUUCUUCAAGAGCCCAUAUCAAAAAGAAGGUUUACGACCUCGAUGUUGGAUCAGGACACCCAAAUGGUGCAGCAGCUAUUAAAGGUUCGUUUGUUCAACGAUUAACAGUCCUACGCGAUCUGAGUUCAGACCGGAGCAAUCCAGGUCAGUUUCUAUCUAUAAAACGCCUACUUUAGUACGAAAGGACCAAGAAGGCUAGGCCCAUACAUCAAGCAUGCCUAAUAAAAAAAUAUUAAUAAACUCAAUAAUUACGUUAUCAAGCCAAGCCAAGAAAAGGCUAUGUUAAGGACCAAAUACAAAGACAAAAGCCACCUUAACC
RNAcentral lists this ribosomal RNA (1512 nucleotides) under Tropidophis haetianus (Haitian dwarf boa). RNAcentral's name for it is "16S ribosomal RNA". It matches the Rfam family "Bacterial large subunit ribosomal RNA", at positions 447 to 2906 of the family's 2925-position model. The record is from RNAcentral. Lineage: Eukaryota; Metazoa; Chordata; Lepidosauria; Squamata; Tropidophiidae.